This 253-nucleotide ribosomal RNA is filed under the name uncultured bacterium. RNAcentral's name for it is "partial 16S ribosomal RNA". It matches the Rfam family "Bacterial small subunit ribosomal RNA", at positions 524 to 776 of the family's 1533-position model. The record is from RNAcentral.
UACAGAGGAUGCAAGCGUUAUCCGGAAUGAUUGGGCCUAAAGCAUCCGUAGCCGGUUCUGCAAGUCCCCCGUUAAAUCCAGCUGCUCAACAGAUGGGCCGCGGAGGAUACUACAGAGCUAGGAGGCAGGAGAGGCAAGCGGUACUCAGUGGGUAGGGGUAAAAUCCGUUGAUCCAUUGAAGACCACCAGUGGCGAAGGCGGCUUGCCAGAAUGCGCUCGACGGUGAGGGAUGAAAGCUGGGGGAGCAAACCGG